RNAcentral lists this transfer RNA (65 nucleotides) under Dipodomys ordii (Ord's kangaroo rat). It matches the Rfam family "tRNA". Rfam says of the family: Transfer RNA (tRNA) molecules are approximately 80 nucleotides in length. The record is from Rfam by way of RNAcentral. Lineage: Eukaryota; Metazoa; Chordata; Mammalia; Rodentia; Heteromyidae.
GGUGGCUUAGUGGUAGAGUGCUUGCCUAGCAUGCAGGAAGUCCUGGGUUCAAUUCCUCAGUACCA